Long non-coding RNA from Lagopus leucura (white-tailed ptarmigan), 333 nucleotides. RefSeq lists it as uncharacterized. The record is from RefSeq and is a predicted model, not a curated record. NCBI's taxonomy places the organism in Eukaryota, Metazoa, Chordata, Aves, Galliformes, Phasianidae. The transcript is spliced from 3 exons.
GAGGAAAGCCCAGACCUGCUAAAGAAAAGGUGUUGCAGGAGACUCUGCUCCCAAAAUGUUGUUCAAUGGUUCGCAUGGCAUGACUGCAGGAAAGAUAUAGCCCCAUCUGUCGAGAGGAAGAGUUGAUUGAGCAAGAUGAGAAGGUGACUCUUUUGGAGGAAAUGCUACAGACAGUUCAGUUCCAUUGUGGAUAACACUUCUUUGAUAAGCUACCAUUUAGAAUGUCACAGUUCGAGACUCCUUGAAAGAAGAUAGCAUUUUGCUCAUUCUGGAGAUCUGGACCCAUUAGUAAAUUGAAGACCUUAGAAGCUGUUCCACUCAAGUCAACAUCUG